CCUACGGGUGCGCUGCAGUGGGGAAUAUUGGGCAAUGGGCGCAAGCCUGACCCAGCAAUGCCGCGUGAAGGAAGAAGGCUUUCGGGUUGUAAACUUCUGUGACAGGGGAAGAGCAGAAGACGGUAUCCUGAAAACAAGCCACGGCUAACUACGUGCCAGCAGCCGCGGUAAUACGUAGGUGGCAAGCGUUGUCCGGAUUGACGGGGUGAAAGGGGCGUGUAGCCGGGAAGGCAAGUCAGAUGUGAAAUCUGGAGGCUCAACCUCCAAAUUGCAUUUGAAACGGUUUUUCUUGAGUACUGGAGAGGCAGACGGAAGUCCGUGUGUAGCGGUGAAAUGCGUAGAUAUAAGGAGGAACACCAGUGGCGAAGGCGGUCUGCUGGACAGCAACUGACGGUGAGGCGCGAAAGCGUGGGGAGCAAACAGGAUUAGAUACCCGAGUAGUC
This 443-nucleotide ribosomal RNA is filed under the name uncultured bacterium. Its description in RNAcentral is "partial 16S ribosomal RNA". It matches the Rfam family "Bacterial small subunit ribosomal RNA", at positions 338 to 795 of the family's 1533-position model. The record is from RNAcentral.